Molecule: ribosomal RNA, 253 nt
Filed under: uncultured bacterium
Lineage: Bacteria
Description: partial 16S ribosomal RNA
Rfam family: Bacterial small subunit ribosomal RNA
Source: RNAcentral
UACGUAGGGCGCAAGCGUUGUCCGGAUUUACUGGGCGUAAAGCGCGCGCAGGCGGCAGUGUAAGUAAGGUGUGAAAUCUCCCUGCUCAACGGGGAGGGUGCAUUUUAGACUGCACAGCUAGAGGUCGGUAGAGGGGGGUGGAAUUGCUGGUGUAGCGGUGAAAUGCGUAGAGAUCAGCAGGAACACCCGUGGCGAAGGCGGCCCCCUGGGCCGUACCUGACGCUGAGGCGCGAAGGCUAGGGGAGCGAACGGG